CAUCUUGCCGCCGUCGUGCUGGGCUCCGGCGCCUCGCGUUCUCUAGGCGAGGACGGCGACGAGGCCGAGCGCGGCCACGGCGCACGCCGACGCGAUCGUCUGCACGCUGGUCCUCCCUGCCGCUCCCUGCAGUUCACGACACCCGAUGCAUUGACAGAUCAGUCACUGUACUGAGACAGUACCAUUGCAGUACAAAAAAAGAGAAAUGUUUGAUGCAGCAUUACUACUACUGCGCUGCUCCUGCAACAGUGCUAAUCUAGGUCACAUGACCUGUAUUUGUAGCCUGUACUAGUAUAGUGCUCGAGCACAUGGAACUUAUAAUUGUGUGGUAAAGUCAUCCUAGGUGAUUGUUAAUUAGGAUUACAGCUUUGGUGGUGUUAGGCAGCAUCAGCAGCAGCAGUAGUAUUACUGCAACGGAGGAUUAAAAGAAUAGAUGGUUGUGUUAAAUUAUUGGUGGGGGUGCGGCCGUGCAGAUUAUAAUACUGUCUAAUUGAUGAAAUGGUAAUAGUAAGUGACAGCUAUAAUUACUAGUGGUGCCAUGGACUGAUCUGGAGUUUUGAAAUGCUGCAUUAACUACUGUUUUGUCCGUUGUCCGUGUAACGGCAGGGCGCACAUGCUUGCCUGCCCGACAUGUCGGGUGCAAUUGGAUCUACGCUAUUUCACCACAAAAAGUUAGGUGAAAAUUUGCAAAAACAAUUCUGUUAGAUUUGUAGUACAAAACUGUACUUAAUUAAUGAGCACCGUAGUGUGCUAUAAAUCCCAAAUAAUCAUCGUACAAAAGAAGAGAGCCUAUUAUGUAUUAAUUAUAGUGUAAAAAACCCUUUGAUUAACACGCACAUUAAAUGCUUCCAUGCAUCUACCCAAUCAACCCAAUCAGCUUUAUGUACAUGCAGCUUGGGAUUUAUAACUCUAGUCUGCAGCUUGGGAUAUGUAACUCUAGUCUUACAAUGCUAAUUAAAUAGAUUCUUGGUUUUUUACCUGAUCUUAUAUGCUGAUUAAUUUGGAAUGGAGUAUUUAAUUACUCUAGGUCAAUACGCGCAGUGGUAGUAAAAAGUAAUUUCUUGGAGUGAAAAGUAGUGGUUAAGCUUUUGUUGCUAAGCAAAGCACUGAGCAGUAGCGGUUGUCACGUCGGUUAGUGAGACAAAUGCAUUGAGUGGGAAUGGGAAGCGUAC
This 1172-nucleotide long non-coding RNA is filed under the name Oryza brachyantha (malo sina). RNAcentral describes it as "long non-coding RNA (OBRA_LNC002104)". Lineage: Eukaryota; Viridiplantae; Streptophyta; Magnoliopsida; Poales; Poaceae. The record is from RNAcentral.